Molecule: long non-coding RNA, 6108 nt
Filed under: Sus scrofa (pig)
Lineage: Eukaryota; Metazoa; Chordata; Mammalia; Artiodactyla; Suidae
Description: lncRNA (ENSSSCG00015041897.1)
Source: RNAcentral
AGCCACACCUGCGGCAUAUGGAAGUUCCCAGGCAAGGGGUUGAAUGGAAUUGGAGCUGCAGCUGCUGGGCUACACCACAGCCACAGCAGUGGUGAAUCUGAGCCACAUCUGUGACCUAUGCCACAGCUUGUAGCAAUGCCAGGUCCUUAACCUACUGAACAAGGCCAGGAUUGAACCCACAUCCUCACAGAUACUUUGUUGGACCCUUUACCCACUGGGCCACCACAGGAACUCUGAAAGAAUAUUUUAAAGCAUAUAGAAGUAUAAGUAUUUUAUAAAAUAGUGCUGAAGUUAAAAAAGGCAAAGACAAUAAAAAAAGAAAGACAAUCUAAAAAUAAGUGGUUAUGGGGUACCUUCCAAAAUCUGUUAAGCUGAGUCUUCCAUAAUCACUUCAGUCAUCACUUCAGUUAGUCAAAGGAACUAACCGUCAGUAAACGCCCACUGUAUAACAGAUAGAACCAGUAAUGAGGUAUAGAUAUUUUCCCACUUUUCCCAAAGAGAAGACAAAAACUUAGUGAGGUAGGUUGAAUAGUAAAGUUAAACAAAAGAGUACUGGAACUCCUCCAAACUUACAAGGCUUUCUCUGGAAGCACUGUUACCUGCUUGUAAUGCAGCACUUGGCAACAUUCACAUCUCUUUGCCACAGCCUGGAACUCUAAAGAAAGUCUCCUCAUCCACAGAAGACAAAGGUGAGAUGACAGAUAAUCUGGGGGAAGCCAUUUGUCAUUGGAGAUGACAGCAAGGUCUCAGGAAAGAGGAACAUAUGAUGCCACUCAUAUGACUUAAACUAGCACGGGCACCACCCUGCACCAUCUCACCCCACGCCCAGUGUCAUGGCUCUGCUCUAGGGGCUGGAGAUGCAAACAUAUCACUCCCCCUAGAUCACCAACCAACAAGUUAUCAGGAUUCCGGCUGGCUUUCAGAAUGGACUAAAAUAAUUAAGGACCAUGUAUUUCCAUGUCAGAUUCUCAAUCCCAUUUCAGUAUUGGAAUAGGCUGAAAUAAAACCGGAAGAAAGACCCACAUAUCUUCUUGUUGACAUGUUAAGUCUUUCAGGAGAGCAUGUAGCCCAGUGCCUUGCUGGCUUUCUGAGCACUGGGCUUAGUCCCAUGGAGAAAAAAAUGCCAAGACCUUGCAGGCUGAGGGUGCAUCUUUUAAAGAAUUUGCAGUGUUAGUGGUUUUAUUCUAAGCAAACUUCCUAGCCCCAGAGGGCUGGCAAGCUGGGACAUGCUAGGGUAAUGCCUAAUUGGUCACACCCAAAUGCCUUUGCUUCCUGCCUUGAAAGUAAAAUCUUGCUGUUACAUGACUAAGUAGCCCUGAAGCUCAGGGAUACACCUGGGAUCUAAGUCAUGCAAGCCACAUGCCCUUUUAAUAAAACUGACAAGCAGAGCUGCAAUGCUCACAGGUUUCUUUCUCAGGCCCUCUUGCUGCUGGCAGGGCAAUCUUUGAUGCUGAAGUCACAUCCAUUUCUUUUACCCCGGAGAAGAGAUGUGGUGGCUAUCCUUUGAGUCGCUGGUCUCAGUUCUCUCGUGUUAUAGCACCAUAACAAAUGACUGUCUGUCAUUUGGGCAGGAAACAUCUUCAGGGAAAUGGGGAACUGGCUUUUUCACACUAGCACUUUAUGGUACUUCAAAACCAAUUACAGAUGGAACCCAAAAGUACAGUUUUCUCAGUUUCUGAUAUGCUUUGCUAGAUUCUGCCAGGCUCAGUGGAAACAUUUCAGUCCUGAAUGUCAGAGGAAUGAAGCAAAAUGAGACCUACCCAUCAUUCACUCCAACAUAAGGAGGACCUUUCAGGAACUACACUGAUAGUUCAUGCAACUCUGAAUCCAGGGACCUUUAGAAACUCAGCAGCAGUUUGAUACAUAUGGAGAACAGGAGGCCCAGGUUCUAGUUCUAGCAAUGUGAACAAGCCAGUGUUUGCCCUUAUGAAAUAGGAGGAGGAAUUAGGUACUGCAAAUAUAUUUUUGAUAAAAUUUCCAAGAUUCUGACAAAGAAUCUUGUGUUGUGUGUUGGAGAAAGAACAGGAUCAAUAACAAGGAGCAAAUAAUAUCUGUCGUGCAAACCUGGUGCUGCACUGAAUCUUCUCAGUAGCUGUAUGAGGCAGGGUUCAUUGUCCCCAUUUUACAGAUGGAAAAAGACCUGGAAACAUUGAAGAGGCAGCCUGCGGUCACAUUGAAUCAGUAGCAGAGCAGAGAUUCAACCCAUAUCUGUCUUGUUCCAAAGUCCACCUCACUGCAUGGCCUCCCACCUGGCACGUGUGCGCACACACACACACAAACACACACACACACACACACACACAAGCUGACCUAAAGGGUGCACAGGAAGCAUAUCAAGUGUAGGGAGAGGACUGGGAGGAGAUAAGGGAGAAAUGUUUAGCCUUUGCUUCCCCCACUCUCUUCCUCCUCUCCCAGAAUAGUUCAACUAUGAGGUAUUUAUAUAUUGAUCCUCUUAGUGAGUUUUUGUUUUGUUUUGUUUUUUUUUUUUUUUUUUAGGGCCUCACCUGUGGGAUAUGGAAGUUCCCAGGCUAGAGGUCAAAUUGAAGCUGCAUCUGCCGGCCUAUACCACAGCCAUAGCAAGGGGGAGUCCAAGUCAUGUCUGAGACCUACACCACGGCAACACCAGAUCCCCAACCCACUGAGCAAGGCCAGGGAUCAAACCCACAUCCUCAUGGACACUAGUCAGGUUCACUACUGCUGAGCCACAAUGGGAGUUCUGAGAUUUUUUUUUUUUAAAUGAUACCACUACUUGAAAAAAGGAAAGAAGGGAGGGAAGGAGAAACAAAGCAAUGAAGGAAAGAGGAAGAAAUAAAUGAAACUGCAAGCUACAAGUGACUUUUUUAUUUCAUCUCUUAGGAUUUUCAGAGCUUAAGCACUCCUUAAAGUGGCAAAUCUAAAAGAGAGUUCACGUUUGUAAACUAUUUAAUAAACUGCUUCAUGAGCCAGGUUGCGCUCAUCAACUUUUAUGCUUCAGUAGCACAAAUCCUCAAAGCUCAGUGGCUUACAGCAACUAAUGUUUGUUACUUCUCACUCAUAUUACUAGCCCUACACAGAUUGACAAUGGCUAUGUUCCACGGUGUUUUCAUUUCAGGACCCCAAAUGAAGGAGAAGCUCCUAUCCAGGACGUGAACUUUUGUGCCAGAGAAAAAGGACCAAUGGUAGACCCAUGAGAUGCCACGUCAAUCUUCUGUGCUUGAUUCCACUCUGGUUUCAUUGAUUUAAACAAGUCACACAGCCAAGCCCAACAGCCAAACAUCGAGAGAUAUUACCCAAUAAUUUGGAACAAUAUAACUUUUCUCACCUGACUUACCUUUCAUAAUUUACUAUAUCCUCUAGUCACAAAUGUUUAUUUCUGUACCUUCCUUGAAUGAAAUACAUGUUCCCUCUCUCCAAGAGAGAGACUAUAAAGUCCACUCCAAUCCAAUCACAGCAAGAGGCUCACUAUCUAACAUUUGAUGAUUUCAUCUAUAUCGGGGAAAGGUAGGGGUUUUUUGAUCCAGAGCAUACAAAGUUAAAAUAAGUCACCUGCCCACAUCCUGUCACAAUACACGAUAGCUGAAUAAGGGAUAGAAUAACCGUAAGAAAUUGUCUCAUUGAGAAAGCAGAAAGGUUGGUGACACACAGCAGUCACUGGGCUGCAGCAAUUCUGAGGUCUUGCUGGUCAGACUUUUCAAGUACCACCUUCCUGGGCACAGGGAGUGUUCCUUGGUUAAGCUCUUGGUCUGCUCCCUACCAUUUACUCCAUGGGGUCUUGGCUUCACUCUCCAAGAGGGUCGCUCUUUCUCAUGAUGAUUCUGGCCAUGUACGAUGACAAUGUUGGAAAUGUGCCUUUGGGAGCUGGUUGUGUAGCUUUCUCUGCCUGAUUCCUACUGUGAAAGGUGGGACCGCAAAGUUGGUUUUAAUCUCAAACAGUCAAGAGUCUAUUGCAUUCCAGGUUGAUAGCUCUUUUGAUAGUACAAUUCUCCCUAAAACUUAAGUGGAUAUUUAUCUGUUUGACUUCAGACAGUACCAUGUACAAACAGCCAUACCUAUAAUUCUUGUAGAGUCAGACCUUCCUCUUAUUAAACCUUAUGGUUUAACUACAGCAAAUAACUGGGGACAAUGAUACAAUGCUUCCAUGGAGAAUAAGAAAUAAAGGUCCAGAAAGUCACAUGGACGAUAAAAGCACUGCAGUCUCUUUACAGGUCUAUAUGAGGUUUAGAAUAAUGAUGAAAGCCUAUAUAUGUACAGGGUCAAGUUUAGAUUCCUCAACAGUAGACUGAUUCUUAGGGUAUGUGCCAGUCUGUGUUCCUUUCUCUGAUAAUUAAUAUUGAUCUACUGCCCUGUCUCUGUGCCCUUCUCAGAGUUUGCCUCAAAUGCUCUUAAUGAGAGGGUGGCUUGCUGUGUAGGCUAUGUCCCCUGUUCAAAGUUUAUUGGGUCAAGGUCAGACACCUAAACUGAGGAACUAAUCAAAUUUCUUUCUGAGAAUUUGGUUUGGGACUCAGAGACUCUAGCUAACCUCUGCUGGAGAUCUGAGCAAGGAGGCCAUCACUCAGGCUAUAUUAUCCUGGGAACAGAGACACUGAUAGUCUUGAGGGAGAGAGAAAAAAAAAAAAAAAAAAAAAAAAAAAAAAGAAAGAGAGAGAGAGAGGCAAUAAUGAAACAUAUACACUGUGGGAAGCAGAGAAAUGUGUCUGCCCUUAGGAUCUAUGACAUAGUCCUUUGCAGAAAAUUUUUCUUUGCCUGAGAUAUUUUAAGUGAGUUUCCAUAGCUUGCCACCAAAUAAUCAUUCAUACCUCCUGGUUAAACAAAUUCAAUAUUCUUCAACCAAUCCUUCCUGAGUUUCUAUGAACAUGAUACUAAGAAAGAAAGAAUUCCCAAAGAAUAACAAGAUGAAUAUGACACAGUGACAGUACUUAGGGUAUUUAUAAGCUUUUAAGAGAGCUAAGAACACAAAUUCUCAUAAGGAAGAUAAUAAUAGAAGCACAUAAAAUAUUGUGGCAAUUAAAAAGGGAUCAUGAUCACAUAUGAUUAGGAGAAUCAGAAUUUUUUAUGGAAAAAUGUCCAAUGAGAUACAGCUAUAGGAUGGACAAAAUCUGAGGGGCAGAUUUGAUAGAAAGCUUCAGGCAGAGUAAAUGGCAUAAGUAGAGGCCUGGACUAAGGAAAUUUGGUGGUGCACUAUUUCUCUGGAGCACAGGAAACAUAUUGGGAAGAGGAGGCAAAUACCUGGCAAGAUAGUCUGGGAUAUUGUUACAAAGGAUGGUAGAUACAAAUAUUUAUCGACUUAUUUAUGCAGUGAAUAGAAUCCCACAGAAGGAAAUGAUACAAUCAUUUGGAAAUGUGGCCCAGCAGCAAUGUGUAUAGUAGGUCUGCAUGGGAAAGAAACUAUAUACAAAAAAAUUAAUAAGGUAUUGAAAGAAGUCCUAAUGUUUUGAAUAAGAUAGUCUAUGUGUUAGCAGGAAGGAAGUAUGUAUAACUGGAAAGAUAGUGCGCUUGGAAGUUGGAGGGCCAUGCAUCCGAGUAGAUAUGACCACAGUGAGAACAGGGAUUUGAACAGCAAAAAGCUUUCAAUUCUUUCAAAGGAAAUAAGGACAAGGAUGAGACGCUGGAGGGAAAAGGCGUUUGGACUGAUAAAUUAAAUAUACCAUGACAUCCAGGUGAAGAUAGGUGUCUGGUAAGACACUAGAUAUCAUGAAAUUCUAGAUUUUUAACGUAAGAGAAUGCUUAGAAAUCAUUCUGUCAACCCCUUCAUUUUAUAGACAAGAAAACUGAGGUCUAGAGUAAUUCUUAUUGCCUUACCCCAAAUGACGAAGUUUAUGAUCUGGGCAUUCUGUUGAUAGAGAGUUAAGGAGUGAAAAUCCAAGCUUAAUGGGUCCAACAAAUAUCCAGACUGAGUGAGAGGAGCAAAACGUGGCUAUGUAACAACUCUCCAUUUGCCAGUCUGUGUGGGAAGUGUGUAAAUGCCGGUCAUUGGCAACAUGGCGCGCCUGCUGUGUGCUAAGUACCCCACUAAAUACUGUGCAACGCUUCAAAGGACAUGAACAAUACAGACACCAUGUGCCUGGGGAAGCGCAGGCUCUAAUUGGGAGGGCAGGCCAACUCUGUGAGAGCAGCCCUCACUGAGGGGUU